RNAcentral lists this ribosomal RNA (700 nucleotides) under uncultured Pseudomonadota bacterium. RNAcentral's name for it is "bacterial SSU rRNA". It matches the Rfam family "Bacterial small subunit ribosomal RNA", at positions 35 to 780 of the family's 1533-position model. The record is from RNAcentral. Lineage: Bacteria; Pseudomonadati; Pseudomonadota.
GCUGGCGGCACGCCUAACACAUGCAAGUCGAACGAAGUAGCAAUACUUAGUGGCAGACGGGUGAGUAACAUGUAGGUAUCUGCCCUUUGGCCUGGAAUAACACGAGGAAACUUGUGCUAAUACCGGAUAAGUCUUUACGGAGAAAGCUUUAUGCACCAUUGGAUGAGCCUGCACUUGAUUAGUUUGUUGGUGGGGUAAUGGCCUACCAAGACUGUGAUCAAUAGCUGAUUUGAGAGGAUGAUCAGCCACAUUGGGACUGAGACACGGCCCAAACUCCUACGGGAGGCAGCAGUGGGGAAUCUUGCACAAUGGAGGAAACUCUGAUGCAGCGAUGCCGCGUGAGUGAAGAAGGCCCUUGGGUUGUAAAGCUCUUUCGUCGGGGAAGAAAAUGACUGUACCCGAAUAAGAAGGUCCGGCUAACUUCGUGCCAGCAGCCGCGGUAAUACGAAGGGACCUAGCGUAGUUCGGAAUUACUGGGCUUAAAGAGUUCGUAGGUGGUUGAAAUAGUUGGUGGUGAAAUCCCAGAGCUUAACUCUGGAACUGCCAUCAAAACUUUUCAGCUAGAGUAUGAUAGAGGAAAGCAGAAUUUCUAGUGUAGAGGUGAAAUUCGUAGAUAUUAGAAAGAAUACCAAUUGCGAAGGCAGCUUUCUGGAUCAUUACUGACACUGAGGAACGAAAGCAUGGGUAGCGAAGAGGAUUA